This 47-nucleotide ribosomal RNA is filed under the name Akanthomyces dipterigenus. RNAcentral describes it as "Lecanicillium longisporum partial 28S ribosomal RNA". Lineage: Eukaryota; Fungi; Ascomycota; Sordariomycetes; Hypocreales; Cordycipitaceae. The record is from RNAcentral.
CGUUGACCUCGGAUCAGGUAGGAAUACCCGCUGAACUUAAGCAUAUC